UCGGCAAUUUCAUAACUUUAACCCCUAAUAUAAAAUUGAAAUUGAAACAGUACGGCACGCCAUCUUGAAGAAUAAUUAAACAUGAAAAUUUCAAAAACAAUGAAAUACCAGACGAUGUAAUAGUGAAGGCCAAACGUAACUAAAGUCGUGGCAAACAGCCAUUAACACAAGAUUCUCCAGACUCAGCCAAUUAUCAUAGAAGACGCGGCAGACCAGCUGGAAAGAAUAGAGCACCAUUAUCUGUGGAAGAACGUCGCGCCCGAAAUGCCCAAUACGAAAGAGAGAGAAGAUGCGAAACAGCGGAAGCACUCUCUGAGUUAGCUGCAUCUAUUGGGAAAAAAGACUCUUCAAACGCAGACAUACUCGCAACAGCUAUAAGAGUGCUGCAAAGUGCUGAACAUAGACAGCCGUCAGACGAAAUAAUGGAACUCAGAAGAACGAACGCAAGUUUGAUUAAACAAAUCGAGUCUAUUGAACAACGACUGGCAACUUGGGAAGAGCGAAGUGAACGUAGGGACAAAUCAAACUCAAAUAAACACGGCGGAAUCAGCAAAAAACGUAACAUAAAAAAAUCUAGAACAAUGAAAUCAGCAAGUAAUGAUAGAACAUUGAAGCGAGAAAAUUAUAUAAAUCCUAACAUGGAAUCAGGUGAAAACAAAGGCCGAAAGUGAAAUUCGACUGCAAGAUGAAGUAUAGUUUAAGUGCAAUAUAAUAUAAUAAUUUGAUGUGCAAUUAUUUCUUUGUUUUUCAAUAAUUUGUGAUGCUUUACUUUUAAGUGGUAAAUAUACUAUAUAAGGAGUCCU
Molecule: long non-coding RNA, 803 nt
Organism: Leptidea sinapis
Lineage: Eukaryota; Metazoa; Arthropoda; Insecta; Lepidoptera; Pieridae
Exons: 6
Source: RefSeq, a predicted model, not a curated record